Molecule: transfer RNA, 74 nt
Filed under: Cordylochernes scorpioides
Lineage: Eukaryota; Metazoa; Arthropoda; Arachnida; Pseudoscorpiones; Chernetidae
Description: tRNA-Asn
Rfam family: tRNA
About the family: Transfer RNA (tRNA) molecules are approximately 80 nucleotides in length.
Source: RNAcentral
GUCUCCGUGGCGCAAUCGGCUAGCGCGUUCGGCUGUUAACCGAAAGGUUGGUGGUUCGAGCCCACCUGGGGACA